UACGAAGGGAGCUAGCGUUGUUCGGAAUCACUGGGCGUAAAGCGCACGUAGGCGGAUUUGUCAGUCAGGGGUGAAAUCCCGGGGCUCAACCUCGGAACUGCCUUUGAUACAGCAAGUCUUGAGUUCGAGAGAGGUGGGUGGAAUUCCUAGUGUAGAGGUGAAAUUCGUAGAUAUUAGGAAGAACACCGGCGGCGAAGGCGGCCCACUGGCUCGAUACUGACGCUGAGGUGCGAAAGCGUGGGGAGCAAACAGG
This 253-nucleotide ribosomal RNA is filed under the name uncultured bacterium. RNAcentral's name for it is "partial 16S ribosomal RNA". It matches the Rfam family "Bacterial small subunit ribosomal RNA", at positions 524 to 776 of the family's 1533-position model. The record is from RNAcentral.